ACUCCUACGGGAGGCAGCAGUGGGGAAUUUUGGACAAUGGGGGCAACCCUGAUCCAGCAAUGCCGCGUGAGUGAAGAAGGCCCUCGGGUUGUAAAGCUCUUUUGUCAGGGAAGAAACGGUGAUCUCUAAUAUAGAUUGCUAAUGACGGUACCUGAAGAAUAAGCACCGGCUAACUACGUGCCAGCAGCCGCGGUAAUACGUAGGGGUGCAAGCGUUAAUCGGAAUUACUGGGCGUAAAGCGUGCGCAGGCGGUUUUGUAAGUCUGAUGUGAAAUCCCCGGGGCUCAACCUGGGAACUGCAUUGGAGACUGCAAGGCUAGAGUGUGUCAGAGGGGGUAGAAUUCCACGUGUAGCAGUGAAAUGCGUAGAGAUGUGGAGGAAUACCGAUGGCGAAGGCAGCCCCCUGGGAUAACACUGACGCUCAUGCACGAAAGCGUGGGGAGCAAACAGGAUUAGAUACCCUGGUAGCGACUGA
This 474-nucleotide ribosomal RNA is filed under the name uncultured bacterium. Its description in RNAcentral is "bacterial SSU rRNA". It matches the Rfam family "Bacterial small subunit ribosomal RNA", at positions 335 to 798 of the family's 1533-position model. The record is from RNAcentral.